AGCAGUAGCCGCGGUAAUACGUAGGUGGCAAGCGUUGUCCGGAAUUAUUGGGCGUAAAGCGCGCGCAGGCGGAUCAGUCAGUCUGUCUUAAAAGUUCGGGGCUUAACCCCGUGAUGGGAUGGAAACUGCUGAUCUAGAGUAUCGGAGAGGAAAGUGGAAUUCCUAGUGUAGCGGUGAAAUGCGUAGAUAUUAGGAAGAACACCAGUGGCGAAGGCGACUUUCUGGACGAAAACUGACGCUGAGGCGCGAAAGCCAGGGGAGCGAACGGGAUUAGAUACCCCCGUAGUCCCUGUCUCUUAUACA
RNAcentral lists this ribosomal RNA (303 nucleotides) under uncultured bacterium. RNAcentral's name for it is "partial 16S ribosomal RNA". It matches the Rfam family "Bacterial small subunit ribosomal RNA", at positions 507 to 809 of the family's 1533-position model. The record is from RNAcentral.